RNAcentral lists this transfer RNA (97 nucleotides) under Polymorphospora rubra. RNAcentral describes it as "tRNA-Glu". The record is from RNAcentral. Lineage: Bacteria; Bacillati; Actinomycetota; Actinomycetes; Micromonosporales; Micromonosporaceae.
GCCGCCGCGCGGGUCCGGUGCGAUGUACGCCCGUUCCUCGUACGGGCCGAAGGUCACGAGGUUGGGAUUGCCCGUGGUUCGGAUCCGUCGGAGGCUC